RNAcentral lists this ribosomal RNA (429 nucleotides) under uncultured Simplicispira sp. Its description in RNAcentral is "bacterial SSU rRNA". It matches the Rfam family "Bacterial small subunit ribosomal RNA", at positions 355 to 776 of the family's 1533-position model. The record is from RNAcentral. Lineage: Bacteria; Pseudomonadati; Pseudomonadota; Betaproteobacteria; Burkholderiales; Comamonadaceae.
UGGGGAAUUUUGGACAAUGGGCGAAAGCCUGAUCCAGCCAUGCCGCGUGCAGGAUGAAGGCCUUCGGGUUGUAAACUGCUUUUGUACGGAACGAAAAAGUUCUCUCUAAUACAGGGGGCGAAUGACGGUACCGUAAGAAUAAGCACCGGCUAACUACGUGCCAGCAGCCGCGGUAAUACGUAGGGUGCGAGCGUUAAUCGGAAUUACUGGGCGUAAAGCGUGCGCAGGCGGUUAUAUAAGACAGAUGUGAAAUCCCCGGGCUCAACCUGGGAACUGCAUUAGUGACUGUAUAGCUAGAGUGCGGCAGAGGGGGAUGGAAUUCCGCGUGUAGCAGUGAAAUGCGUAGAUAUGCGGAGGAACACCGAUGGCGAAGGCAAUCCCCUGGGCCUGCACUGACGCUCAUGCACGAAAGCGUGGGGAGCAAACAGG